RNAcentral lists this transfer RNA (77 nucleotides) under Verrucomicrobiota bacterium. Its description in RNAcentral is "Verrucomicrobia bacterium (freshwater metagenome) tRNA-Arg". It matches the Rfam family "tRNA". From Rfam's summary of the family: Transfer RNA (tRNA) molecules are approximately 80 nucleotides in length. Their secondary structure includes four short double-helical elements and three loops (D, anti-codon, and T loops). Lineage: Bacteria; Pseudomonadati; Verrucomicrobiota. The record is from RNAcentral.
GCGCGAGUAGCUCAAUUGGAUAGAGUGUCGGCCUCCGGAGCCGAAGGUUGUGGGUUCAAAUCCCACCUCGCGUACCA